This is a long non-coding RNA of Schistocerca nitens (vagrant locust), 2932 nucleotides long. RefSeq lists it as uncharacterized. NCBI's taxonomy places the organism in Eukaryota, Metazoa, Arthropoda, Insecta, Orthoptera, Acrididae. The transcript is spliced from 2 exons. The record is from RefSeq and is a predicted model, not a curated record.
CCCUUGUGAGACGUUGGCAGAGUGCGUGUCUUUUAUCGGGCUCGGCGCAGCGCCGCGCCACCGCCGCGACGUCCAUUUUUAAUGACGCGACGUGACAGGCGGGUCGGCGCACAGAAAAAUACAAGGCCCACGCCUUGUCCGCCCCGUCAAGGACGCUGCCAACGGCAGCCGAUGGCCCGAUACGCGGCGUUUUAUUUCACUCACCAUUCGCCGCUGCUCUCAUCGUUUAUUUUCUCAAUCGUUCAAUGUUUGUCGACAUUGGAGUAUCGUAAACGAGCAACAGCUCUUAUAUCAGUAACGGAAGAAUGACGCCACUGCAUCACAUUAGAUGCAGGACUUGACACCGCAGACUCUUCUACAUGUGUGGCGCCAUCUCAGAGGCAUGUGCUUACAGCUUCUCAGGAAAAAUCUCAUUGCUUCUAGGAUAACAUGGACAAACAUAAAAACUUUGAAGAGUGCCAGUGACAUUGUAAUUGUACCAUAGACAACAAAAUAUUUGAAUUGAACAGUAUCAACAGUGUCUUGAUAAGAUAUUACGUAACGUAAUGUAAUCGAAUCAAAUAAUGUGAUGUUGAGGGAAUUAGAAUAGAAAAUGAGACACUAGAAAUAAUCGGACACCAAAGAAGUGAACAUUGCUGAAAUAAAUUACCAGCAGCAAGAAAACAUUUCCGAAAAAAAAGUGAACGUCGAAUAUAAAUGUGUUGAGAAGGUUUGUAUUAAGGUAUUUUUCGGGAGUGUACCCUUGUAAGGAAUUCACACAUUAAGUGGCAAACAGCUCAUAAGUAAAGACAAUAGAAGCUGUUGAAAUAUUGUGCUCCGGAAGCAUUCUCAGGAUUACACGAGAAAGUCGAACAACUAACGAAGAAAUACUAAACAGAACUGGGGGAAAAUAAAUUGGUGGAGGGAGUUGGAGUCAUUCUGCAGAGGCGAAGUGGCUUGCACAAGAAAAUUAUCCUUAAGAGCUACAUCAAACCAAUCUACGGACUGAAGCCCACAACUAUAACGAAGAUGUGGAACGCCAGACACGAUAAGGAACAAAGAUGAGAUAGAACACUGGUAGUUGCAGUGCGUUACACUGUGUAGAUGAGACUGAGGAAGAAAAUUCUAAAAUUGCAGUCCACAAAUGCAGAUACCGAGGUCAGCCUAGGACUACCCAACACAGGAUCAGCUUCGAACUGAAGAUAUCUGAAGAGAGAUCUUUUUUUUUUUUUGACGCUCCGGCAGAAUUCUCAAGAUUACACGAGAAAGUCGAACAGCUAACGAAGAAAUACUAAACAGAACUGGGGGAAAAUAAAUUUGUGGAGGGAGUUGGAGUCAUUCUGCAGAGGCGAAGUGGCUUGCACAAGAAAAUUAUCCUUAAGAGCUACAUCAAACCAAACUUCGGACUGGGGCCCACAACUAUAACGAAGAUGUGGAACGCCAGACACGAUAAGGAACAAAGAUGAGAUAGAACACUGGUAGUUGCAGUGCGUUACACUGUGUAGAUGAGACUGAGGAAGAAAAUUCUGAAAUUGCAGUCCACAAAUGCAGAUACCGAGGUCAGCCUAGGACUACCCAACACAGGAUCAGCUUCGAACUGAAGAUAUCUGAAGAGAGAUCUUUUUUUUUUUUUUUUUUUUUUUUUUUGACGCUCCGGCAGAAUUCUCAAGAUUACACGAGAAAGUAGAACAGCUAACGAAGAAAUACUAAACAGAACUGGGGGAAAAUAAAUUUGUGGAGGGAGUUGGAGUCAUUCUGCAGAGGCGAAGUGGCUUGCACAAGAAAAUUAUCCUUAAGAGCUACAUCAAACCAAACUUCGGACUGGGGCCCACAACUAUAACGAAGAUGUGGAACGCCAGACACGAUAAGGAACAAAGAUGAGAUAGAACACUGGUAGUUGCAGUGCGUUACACUGUGUAGAUGAGACUGAGGAAGAAAAUUCUGAAAUUGCAGUCCACAAAUGCAGAUACCGAGGUCAGCCUAGGACUACCCAACACAGGAUCAGCUUCGAACUGAAGAUAUCUGAAGAGAGAUCUUUUUUUUUUUUUUUUUUUUUUUUUUUUGACGCUCCGGAAGCAUUCUCAAGAUUACACGAGAAAGUCGAACAGCUAACGAAGAAAUACUAAACAGAACUGGGGGAAAAUAAAUUUGUGGAGGGAGUUGGAGUCAUUCUGCAGAGGCGAAGUGGCUUGCACAAGAAAAUUAUCCUUAAGAGCUACAUCAAACCAAACUUCGGACUGGGGCCCACAACUAUAACGAAGAUGUGGAACGCCAGACACGAUAAGGAACAAAGAUGAGAUAGAACACUGGUAGUUGCAGUACGUUACACUGUGUAGAUGAGACUGAGGAAGAAAAUUCUGAAAUUGCAGUCCACAAAUGCAGAUACCGAGGUCAGCCUAGGACUACCCAACACAGGAUCAGCUUCGAACUGAAGAUAUCCGAAGAGAGAUCUUUUUUUUUUUUUUUUUUGACGUUACUGAACACUUUAAGUGAAGAUAGGUACAGUCGACAAUCAUGCCUGUUCGUAUGUCUUGAUAAGCUCGUAAACCUUCAGUUGUGUACAGCUGCAGCACUGGGAACGCAACACGCACCGGAAAUUGUAACGAUUUUACUUAUAGAUCGUUUUGAUUUUCUGUAAUUGAGUAUAAUUACUGCAUAUUGUUUUGUAUAUACAUUGUAACACUUACGUUUAUCUGUUGGAAACGCUGAGAUGUUUCAGCCUCGAAUGUGCAAAUGAGAAUAGAGAUGAGUCGUUACGUUGUAGCUGUAUGGCAGCGUUUGAGGGUCUGGGUUUUCCCCAAUGUAAUUAUGUUUCGUGUUGUUACAUAUUAACCCUGUGGAUUACUAAUUGUUUCCUUUCAGUUUUGCUGUUACGAUAUGUUUUGUUAAUACUUUUCUUGUGAAAUGUUAUGCUGUUUUUCUAUUGUACAAUAAAAUGAAUGUUAAAUGUGAA